AAACGCUUGAAGUCAGUCGUAUCUAAUUGAAAUCAACCUGGCCUUUCGCUGGGCGUACUUUCUUUUGGAUGGGUCAGCAUCAAUUUUGGUCGUCGGAAAAAGGUUGGAGGAAUGUGGCAUCUCCGGAUGUGUUAUAGCCUCCUUUCCACAUACGAUGACUGGGAUUGAGGAACUCAGUGUGACUCUGUUUGGGCUUCGGCUACAUCACGCACUUAGGAUGCUGGCAUAAUGGCUUUAAUCGA
Molecule: ribosomal RNA, 242 nt
Filed under: Russulales sp.
Lineage: Eukaryota; Fungi; Basidiomycota; Agaricomycetes; Russulales
Description: partial large subunit ribosomal RNA
Source: RNAcentral